Molecule: unclassified non-coding RNA, 329 nt
Filed under: plant metagenome
Description: partial contains 5.8S ribosomal RNA, internal transcribed spacer 2, and large subunit ribosomal RNA
Rfam family: 5.8S ribosomal RNA (bases 1-105)
Source: RNAcentral
GAAAUGCGAUAAGUAAUGUGAAUUGCAGAAUUCAGUGAAUCAUCGAAUCUUUGAACGCACAUUGCGCCCGUCAGCAUUCUGGCGGGCAUGCCUGUUCGAGCGUCAUUUCAACCCUCAGGACCCCCCUUUCGCGGGGAGGGACCUGGCGUUGGGGAUCGGCCCGCCCCCCGUGGCGGCGCCGUCCCCGAAAUCUAGUGGCGGUCUCGCUGCAGCCUCCCCUGCGUAGUAGUUACAACCUCGCAUUGGAGCGCGGCGCGGCCACGCCGUAAAACCCCCGACUUUCUGAACGUUGACCUCGGAUCAGGUAGGAAUACCCGCUGAACUUAAGC